RNAcentral lists this ribosomal RNA (125 nucleotides) under Chloroflexota bacterium. RNAcentral describes it as "Chloroflexi bacterium partial 16S ribosomal RNA". It matches the Rfam family "Bacterial small subunit ribosomal RNA", at positions 1 to 123 of the family's 1533-position model. The record is from RNAcentral. Lineage: Bacteria; Bacillati; Chloroflexota.
CAUUAAGAGAGUUUGAUCCUGGCUCAGGGUGAACGCUGGCGGCGCGCUUAAUGCAUGCAAGUCGAGCGUGAUCGUGGCUUCGGCCACAAUGAUAAAGCGGCAGACGGCUGAGUAACGCGUGAGUA